GAAUUAAGACACAGAUGGUACUGUAAAAGAAUUGCAAAUUCUUUAUUUAGGGUUCGAUUCCCUCUUAAUUCU
Non-coding RNA from Tilletia controversa (dwarf bunt fungus), 72 nucleotides. NCBI's taxonomy places the organism in Eukaryota, Fungi, Basidiomycota, Exobasidiomycetes, Tilletiales, Tilletiaceae. The record is from Rfam.